UACGUAGGGGGCAAGCGUUAUCCAGAUUUACUGGGCGUAAAGGGCUCGUAGGCGGCCAACUAAGUCAGACGUGAAAUCCCUCGGCUUAACCGGGGAACUGCGUCUGAUACUGGAUGGCUUGAGUUUGGGAGAGGGAUGCGGAAUUCCAGGUGUAGCGGUGAAAUGCGUAGAUAUCUGGAGGAACACCGGUGGCGAAGGCGGCAUCCUGGACCAACACUGACGCUCAUGCACGAAAGCGUGGGGAGCAAACAGG
This 253-nucleotide ribosomal RNA is filed under the name uncultured bacterium. RNAcentral describes it as "partial 16S ribosomal RNA". It matches the Rfam family "Bacterial small subunit ribosomal RNA", at positions 524 to 776 of the family's 1533-position model. The record is from RNAcentral.